This is an RNA transcript of Malus domestica (apple), 1482 nucleotides long. It is a transcript of the gene named acireductone dioxygenase 2, with no coding region annotated. NCBI's taxonomy places the organism in Eukaryota, Viridiplantae, Streptophyta, Magnoliopsida, Rosales, Rosaceae. The record is from RefSeq and is a predicted model, not a curated record.
GAUGGGCAUUUCCGUCAUUUCAGUAUAUCCUCCGAGCUUCCUUUGGAGUGGGCCGAGGCAAGCGUGGUCUCAAAGCCGCUCCAGAUUUUUCAGGAAUCGUAUCGACAGCCAAAACGCAUAGCGACACCAGCAGCAGCCAUGGUUGCCACCCAAAAGGAUCCUAGAGAGGAAGUCAUCCAAGCAUGGUACAUGGAUGAUAGUGAUGAAGACCAGAGGCUCCCCCAUCACAAGGAGUCCAAGGAAUUUGUAUCCUUGGACCAACUUGCCGAGCUUGGAGUGCUCAGUUGGCGUCUAGAUGCUGAUAACUAUGAAACAGAUGAGGAGUUGAAGAAGAUUCGUGAAGAACACGGUUACUCCUACAUGGACUUCUGUGAGGUUUGCCCUGUAAAGCUUCCUAAUUAUGAGCAGAAGUUAAAAAAUUUCUUUGAGGAACAUCUUCACACUGAUGAGGAGAUCCGAUACUCUGUGGAUGGAAGUGGUUAUUUCGAUGUUAGGGACCGAAAUGAAUGUUGGAUUCGCGUAUGGGUGAAAAAGGGGGGAAUGAUUGUUUUGCCUGCUGGAAUUUAUCACCGAUUUACAUUGGACACAAACAACUACAUAAAGGCAAUGCGUCUCUUUAUUGGUGAUCCAGUUUGGACUCCCUAUAAUCGUCCUCAUGAUCAUCUUCCCGCAAGGGAGGAGUAUCUUAAAGCUUUUGUGCAUAAGGAAACUGGUGACCAUGCAGUUAAUGCUGCGGCAUAAAAUAUGGCUUUUGCUUCUAAAUGUGGGUUUACAAAUAAUGAAGUACGAUUAUGGCUAUGCAUGGUAAAGAUACAUAUGGUUGUAUUGUCUGGGAUGCAACUUGUAACUUUAAGGUGUCGUAUGAUGCUAGUUAAGCUGUGUUGUGGUGUGUAACCUUUAUGCCCUGGCCUCGCAUGCUAGAAGGUGUUGGCUCCUUUGUGUUUCUGGUUCAGUCACCUCACUCAGAUUUGGAAGCUACGGCAUAUACUUGUUUUGUGGUGCUCAAUUCUUUUAGAUGAUGUGGCCAAACUCGUGACGUUGGAUUUUAGUAUGAUGGUGACGACAUUAUGUGGUGUUAUUAGUCCCGUAAAGGUAGACAACUAUAUUGAUAUGAUAAGACUAGGAAUGCUACGUGGCGGUGUAAUGGUUCUACGGAAAAACUUAUCGUCCUUUUGAGUGGGUUCUUGCUGUGUAUAAGGGGUUUGCUUUUGGGCUUUCUACUGAGUUGAAAUAGGAUGGAUUAGAAUUGGUCAAUACUUGACAUCCAAGGUGAAACGAUCCAAAACAUGGCUUGAUUGCUAUCCUUAUGAUUUAGCUUCUUUCAAAUGCUUAUACAAAUUGAGGAGGCUUUCACUUGGUUUCGAUAACGCUAAGUGCAGCGGAAUUUGAGAGUAGAGGAAUGUACGGGUAAUGAACUUGUAAUUCAAGUAAUUAAGAGUAUUUCUCUCGAGUAUUGCAUAUGCAAAGAAACUUUUUGAAUCA